This 585-nucleotide ribosomal RNA is filed under the name uncultured bacterium. Its description in RNAcentral is "bacterial SSU rRNA". It matches the Rfam family "Bacterial small subunit ribosomal RNA", at positions 23 to 654 of the family's 1533-position model. The record is from RNAcentral.
CUCAGAACGAACGCUGGCGGCAUGCCUAACACAUGCAAGUCGAACGAACCCUUCGGGGUUAGUGGCGCACGGGUGCGUAACGCGUGGGAACCUGCCUUUUGGUUCGGAAUAACAGUGAGAAAUUACUGCUAAUACCGGAUAAUGUCUUCGGACCAAAGAUUUAUCGCCAUUAGAUGGGCCCGCGUAAGAUUAGCUAGUUGGUGGGGUAAAGGCCUACCAAGGCGACGAUCUUUAGCUGGUCUGAGAGGAUGAUCAGCCACACUGGGACUGAGACACGGCCCAGACUCCUACGGGAGGCAGCAGUGGGGAAUAUUGGACAAUGGGCGAAAGCCUGAUCCAGCAAUGCCGCGUGAGUGAUGAAGGCCUUAGGGUUGUAAAGAUCUUUUACUGGGGAUGAUAAUGACAGUACCCAGAGAAUAAGCUCCGGCUAACUCCGUGCCAGCAGCCGCGGUAAUACGGAGGGAGCUAGCGUUGUUCGGAAUUACUGGGCGUAAAGCGCACGUAGGCGGCUUUUUAAGUCAGGGGUGAAAUCCCGGGGCUCAACCCCGGAACUGCCCUCGAAACUGGGAAGCUAGAAUCUUGGAG